This 487-nucleotide ribosomal RNA is filed under the name uncultured bacterium. Its description in RNAcentral is "bacterial SSU rRNA". It matches the Rfam family "Bacterial small subunit ribosomal RNA", at positions 28 to 507 of the family's 1533-position model. The record is from RNAcentral.
GAUGAACGCUAGCGGGAGGCUUAACACAUGCAAGUCGAGGGGCAGCAUAGGGUAGCAAUACUCUGAUGGCGACCGGCAAACGGGUGAGUAACGCGUAUGCAACCUACCCUGUACAGGGGGAUAACCCGGAGAAAUUCGGACUAAUAUCCCGUAAUAAUAUCCGGAGGCAUCUUUGGAUAUUUAAAGUUCCGACGGUACGGGAUGGGCAUGCGUAACAUUAACUGGUUGGUAAGGUAACGGCUUACCAAGGCUAUGAUGUUUAGGGGUCCUGAGAGGGUGGUCCCCCACACUGGUACUGAGACACGGACCAGACUCCUACGGGAGGCAGCAGUGAGGAAUAUUGGUCAAUGGGCGCAAGUCUGAACCAGCCAUCCCGCGUGCAGGAAGACGGCCCUAUGGGUUGUAAACUGCUUUUCCAGGGAGAGAAACUUACGCACGUGUUGCGUGACUGACGGUACCCUGGGAAUAAGCAUCGGCUAACUCCGUG